UCGAUGUAGAAACCAUUUUAUUAUUAAACACGUUUCCACGAGCAGUAAACGUGUUUACCGAUCAAUCGAUUACCCAUCAAUCAAUCAAUUAACCCAACUAAUAGGUAUGAAUGAUCAGACAUGUUUGCUAUUUAACUCUUUAAGGAUUGUUGGGUGAACAUUCAUUUUUCUCCCCAGGAAGAAGCGUAGUGACAUCACUUCCUGUGGGCGGGUCUUCCUCUACAUACGUUUCCUGUUCUUUCAUGAAAAACUGACCUUAGAUGCUUUAAAGCUAUUUACUGUCAACUAAGUACAUUUACACUAACUUAGUGGUGUACUUGAGUGUACUAGAAUAUUUAUACUUCUCCACCACAUGUCAGAUAUUGUACUUCCUUGUAUAUCCAGAUGUAUGGAUGAUAAACGUCUUUGCACUUCAACUACUUACACAUUAUCUCAUGGUGGAGUAGUUCCACAGUGAAUCAGCAGUACUUUUACUGCAGUAUAGAAUACUCCUAAAGGCAAACGGUCUCGUUGUCACAACUCUAAACUAUUUUUUUCAAGGAAUUUGUUAAAACUCUACUUUGACUUCUUUAAAUAUGCUUCUGAUCUGCAUCAAACCAGAGAGCAACCAACCAAGCAGCUGGUUGGAGUUACUGGUUUGCUCACGUUGCCGACUUUCAUUCAGAACUUUUUAUUUAGUUCUAGUCCAUUUAAACCACCUCGUUUUGUUCAGCUGUUUGUUGAUCUCUGCAAAAAGGGAAAUGAAAAUGAUCUUUAUAUAUUUUCUUUGGCAUAACUUCACAAACAUUAUUCUUUGUCUCAAAGAAAUCUCAAUAAAAAUAAAAAAAGUGUUCCUGAAACCGAACCAAGAAUUAAAGAAUAAACCCUCACCAGAGAGUCAGAGUUCAAAUCCAUUUAGAAAGACCAGUUGAAAAAUCUAAAGUAAAAAAUAUUGUAUAUAAUAUUGUAUAUAUGAUGUAACAGAAUGUUCUUUAAAUAUUUCACAUUCAAGUGGUGACGAGAUGAAUCCAAUUUGACAAUAAAAGGGUUUUGAUAUCUUGAUGAAAGUCAUCAUUUUCUUUAAAUAUAGUCGGCAUAUUUAUUACAAAAAUAAAUUCAUAAUGUUUUAAACACAUGGUCAUACUUUCCCUAAAAGUUAAAUAUUCCUCAAAAUAGUUCUGCUUUAUUCUCUGACUCUCGGGUCCCUGAACAGUCGGAACCUUUGAACCGUCAGGGCUCAAGUCUGUUCUGAUUGGUUCUGAUCCGGGAUUUCAAUCCUGUUUAAUACACGUCGACUUCAUGAGAAGCAGAUGUUAAUUAACA
Long non-coding RNA from Gasterosteus aculeatus aculeatus (three-spined stickleback), 1302 nucleotides. The record is from Ensembl. Lineage: Eukaryota; Metazoa; Chordata; Actinopteri; Perciformes; Gasterosteidae.